GCCGAGAUAGCUCAGUUGGUAGAGCACGCGACUGAAAAUCGCGGUGUCGCCAGUUCGAUUCUGGCUCUCGGCACUA
This 76-nucleotide transfer RNA is filed under the name Pelolinea submarina. Its description in RNAcentral is "tRNA-Phe". It matches the Rfam family "tRNA". From Rfam's summary of the family: Transfer RNA (tRNA) molecules are approximately 80 nucleotides in length. Their secondary structure includes four short double-helical elements and three loops (D, anti-codon, and T loops). The record is from RNAcentral. Lineage: Bacteria; Bacillati; Chloroflexota; Anaerolineae; Anaerolineales; Anaerolineaceae.